This 440-nucleotide ribosomal RNA is filed under the name uncultured bacterium. Its description in RNAcentral is "partial 16S ribosomal RNA". It matches the Rfam family "Bacterial small subunit ribosomal RNA", at positions 338 to 795 of the family's 1533-position model. The record is from RNAcentral.
GCUACGGGGGGCAGCAGUGGGGAAUAUUGCACAAUGGGGGAAACCCUGAUGCAGCGACGCCGCGUGAGUGAAGAAGUAAUUCGUUAUGUAAAGCUCUAUCAGCAGGGAAGAAAAUGACGGUACCUGAGUAAGAAGCCCCGGCUAACUACGUGCCAGCAGCCGCGGUAAUACGUAGGGGGCAAGCGUUAUCCGGAUUUACUGGGUGUAAAGGGAGCGUAGACGGGAGUGCAAGUCUGGAGUGAAAGGCGGGGGCUCAACCCCCGGACUGCUCUGGAAACUGUGGAGCUUGAGUGCGGGAGGGGCAGGCGGAAUUCCUAGUGUAGCGGUGAAAUGCGUAGAUAUUAGGAGGAACACCGGCGGCGAGGGCGGCCUGCUGGACCGUAACUGACGUUGAGGCUCGAAAGCGUGGGGAGCAAACAGGAUUAGAUACCCCUGUAGUC